CCAAAGGCUCUUUUAAGAGCCACCCACUUUGUCUAAAAAGAGCAUU
Regulatory RNA element from Pelodiscus sinensis (Chinese soft-shelled turtle), 46 nucleotides. It matches the Rfam family "Histone 3' UTR stem-loop". From Rfam's summary of the family: The mRNAs of metazoan histone genes lack a poly-A tail. 3' end processing occurs at a site between a highly conserved stem-loop (modelled by this family) and a purine rich region around 20 nts downstream (the histone downstream element, or HDE). The record is from Rfam. Lineage: Eukaryota; Metazoa; Chordata; Testudines; Trionychidae.